This 433-nucleotide ribosomal RNA is filed under the name uncultured bacterium. RNAcentral's name for it is "partial 16S ribosomal RNA". It matches the Rfam family "Bacterial small subunit ribosomal RNA", at positions 29 to 507 of the family's 1533-position model. The record is from RNAcentral.
CACGAACUCUGGCGGCAUGCCUAACACAUGCAAGUCGAACGAGACCUUCGGGUCUAGUGGCGCACGGGUGCGUAACGCGUGGGAACCUGCCCUUAGGUUCGGAAUAACUCCCCGAAAGGGGUGCUAAUACCGGAUAAUGUCUUCGGACCAAAGAUUUAUCGCCUUUGGAUGGGCCCGCGUUGGAUUAGCUAGUUGGUAGGGUAAAAGCCUACCAAGGCGACGAUCCAUAGCUGGUCUGAGAGGAUGAUCAGCCACACUGGGACUGAGACACGGCCCAGACUCCUACGGGAGGCAGCAGUGGGGAAUAUUGGACAAUGGGCGAAAGCCUGAUCCAGCAAUGCCGCGUGAGUGAUGAAGGCCUUAGGGUUGUAAAGCUCUUUUACCCGGGAUGAUAAUGACAGUACCGGGAGAAUAAGCUCCGGCUAACUCCGUG